GAAAAUCAGAGGUUUAACUAACAUGAUCAAGAUCUCCUAACCAGGUAAGUGGUGAAGUUGGAAUUUUUACCCAAGUCUGUUUGCUAAAUGUAUGCUCUUCAUCAUUACAUCUACAUAGGACCAGCUACAUAACUUGUAGCACCCAGUGCAAAAUGAAAAUGUAAGUCCACUUGUUAAGAGAUUAUGAAGAAUUUCAAGGGGAUAUCAGUGCAUUAAACAGAGUUGGGACCUUCUGAGUUCCCUGUGUGAUUGCAUAGGUUGUACACCUCCGAAGCCAGCCCUGCUUCCAUGUUUCUCCAGUUUACCUAAUGGCACCCUAGGCUGUGAUCCUAGAACUGAACAUCUGAUGAGUCAAUACAGGGCACGGAGUAGUGCUCUUCACCCUGAGCCAUGAGACCUGCAUCUCAGGUUGCAGAAAACAUGUGGAGCAGAGGUACAGAGCCUUCACUUUGCUGCAGCAACAAAUAAAGUGAGUGAGAAAUGGACCUCCAUAAGGCACUGAAAAGUUGGGGAAUGUUUGUUACUGUAGCCUUACCUAGCCAAAGCUGACUGAUAUACCUUGUCAGCAUUCAACACCAUGUUAAGGAAUAAUUUUCCCCAGGGACUUGCUGUGGAUAAGGGUCAUAUAGCUGUAGAGCUUGCUGGAGAGUAUGUUGGUUUUCAUACGUUGAUAUGAAGGCCAUGGAUGG
Long non-coding RNA from Pan paniscus (pygmy chimpanzee), 689 nucleotides. NCBI's taxonomy places the organism in Eukaryota, Metazoa, Chordata, Mammalia, Primates, Hominidae. The record is from Ensembl.